AGUGAACGCUGGCGGUAGGCCUAGCACAUGCAAGUCGAACGGCAGCACAGUAAGAGCUUGCUCUUACGGGUGGCGAGUGGCGGACGGGUGAGGAAUACAUCGGAAUCUACUUUUUCGUGGGGGAUAACGUAGGGAAACUUACGCUAAUACCGCAUACGACCUACGGUUGAAAGCAGGGGAUCUUCGGACCUUGCGCGAUUGAAUGAGCCGAUGUCGGAUUAGCUAGUUGGCGGGGUAAAGGCCCACCAAGGCGACGAUCCGUAGCUGGUCUGAGAGGAUGAUCAGCCACACUGGAACGGAGACACGGUCCAGACUCCUACGGGAGGCAGCAGUGGGGAAUAUUGGACAAUGGGCGCAAGCCUGAUCCAGCCAUACCGCGUGGGUGAAGAAGGCCUUCGGGUUGUAAAGCCCUUUUGUUGGGAAAGAAAAGCAGCAGGUUAAUACCCCGCUGUUCUGACGGUACCCAAAGAAUAAGCACCGGCUAACUUCGUG
RNAcentral lists this ribosomal RNA (492 nucleotides) under uncultured bacterium. Its description in RNAcentral is "partial 16S ribosomal RNA". It matches the Rfam family "Bacterial small subunit ribosomal RNA", at positions 29 to 507 of the family's 1533-position model. The record is from RNAcentral.